UACGGAAGGCAGCAGUGGGGAAUAUUGCACAAUGGGCGCAAGCCUGAUGCAGCCAUGCCGCGUGUAUGAAGAAGGCCUUCGGGUUGUAAAGUACUUUCAGCGGGGAGGAAGGCGAUGCGGUUAAUAACCGCGUCGAUUGACGUUACCCGCAGAAGAAGCACCGGCUAACUCCGUGCCAGCAGCCGCGGUAAUACGGAGGGUGCAAGCGUUAAUCGGAAUUACUGGGCGUAAAGCGCACGCAGGCGGUCUGUUAAGUCAGAUGUGAAAUCCCCGGGCUUAACCUGGGAACUGCAUUUUGAACUGGCAGGCUUGAGUCUUGUAGAGGGGGUAGAAUUCCAGGUGUAGCGGUGAAAUGCGUAGAGAUCUGGAGGAAUCCGGUGGCGAAGGCGGCCCCUGGGACAAGACUGACGCUCAGGUGCGAAAGCGUGGGGAGCAAACAGGGAUUAGGAUACC
Molecule: ribosomal RNA, 453 nt
Filed under: uncultured bacterium
Lineage: Bacteria
Description: bacterial SSU rRNA
Rfam family: Bacterial small subunit ribosomal RNA
Source: RNAcentral